UUUAUAGUGUUAAUAAUAAGUGGUGGUGGUUGCAAUAAUUGAUAGCUAAGUAGUAAUGGUGGCUAAAUGGUGUUGGUGGUGGUGGUGGCAAAAUGAGAUAGUGCUAUAGUAGUAGUUAGGUGGUGGUAAAGAUGGCAGUGGUUAAGUGGCGAUAGCGAUAGAGGCGGUGAUGGCAGCAUUGGUGGUCAUGGUGGUAGUGGCAGUGAGGGCCAGGUAAUGAUAAUGGUGACAAUAGUGUUGACAAUAAAUAAAAAA
This 255-nucleotide unclassified non-coding RNA is filed under the name Hevea brasiliensis (rubber tree). The record is from RNAcentral. Lineage: Eukaryota; Viridiplantae; Streptophyta; Magnoliopsida; Malpighiales; Euphorbiaceae.